Molecule: non-coding RNA, 315 nt
Organism: Pelobates cultripes (western spadefoot toad)
Lineage: Eukaryota; Metazoa; Chordata; Amphibia; Anura; Pelobatidae
Source: the annotation of a GenBank genome assembly
GUCUUAAAUUAGAGGGACAAAGGUUUAAAAAUAAUAUCAGGAAGUAUUACUUUACUGAGAGUGUAGUGGAUGCAUGGAAUAGUCUUCCAGCUGAAAAGGUUAACACAGUAAAGGAGUUUAAGCAUGCGUGGGAUAGGCAUAAGGCUAUCCUAACUAUAAGAUAAGGCUAGGGACUAAUGAAAGUAUUUAGAAAACUGGGCAGACUAGAUGGGCCGAAUGGUUCUUAUCUGCCGUCACAUUCUAUGUUUCUAUGUUCUCACUCAUUUAAGAGAGGCAGGGAUUAAACUGUCUUUACAAAAGGCGCAAUGGUGUCGC